AUAAUACAUGGUUAACCUCUUU
RNAcentral lists this microRNA (22 nucleotides) under Callithrix jacchus (white-tufted-ear marmoset). Its description in RNAcentral is "cja-miR-655". Its record names the gene cja-miR-655. Lineage: Eukaryota; Metazoa; Chordata; Mammalia; Primates; Cebidae. The record is from miRBase by way of RNAcentral. RNAcentral also lists the same sequence under 11 other names.